CUACGGAGGGUGCGAGCGUUAAUCGGAAUUACUGGGCGUAAAGCGUGCGUAGGCGGUUUGCUAAGUCAGAUGUGAAAGCCCCGGGCUUAACCUGGGAACUGCAUUUGAUACUGGCAGACUAGAGUAUGAUAGAGGGGGGUAGAAUUCCUGGUGUAGCGGUGAAAUGCGUAGAUAUCAGGAGGAAUACCAGUGGCGAAGGCGGCCCCCUGGAUCAAUACUGACGCUGAGGUACGAAAGCGUGGGGAGCGAACAGGAUUAGAUACCCCAGUAGUCC
RNAcentral lists this ribosomal RNA (274 nucleotides) under uncultured bacterium. Its description in RNAcentral is "partial 16S ribosomal RNA". It matches the Rfam family "Bacterial small subunit ribosomal RNA", at positions 523 to 796 of the family's 1533-position model. The record is from RNAcentral.